AUUACCUACGGGGGGCAGCAGUGAGGAAUAUUGGUCAAUGGCCGAGAGGCUGAACCAGCCGAGUCACGUGAGGGAAGACGGCCCUACGGGUUGUAAACUUCUUUUGUCGGGGAACAAAGGCGGAGACGCGUCUCCGGAUGAGUGUACCCGAAGAAAAAGCAUCGGCUAACUCCGUGCCAGCAGCCGCGGUAAUACGGAGGAUGCGAGCGUUAUCCGGAUUUAUUGGGUUUAAAGGGUGCGCAGGCGGGAGAUCAAGU
RNAcentral lists this ribosomal RNA (257 nucleotides) under uncultured bacterium. RNAcentral describes it as "partial 16S ribosomal RNA". It matches the Rfam family "Bacterial small subunit ribosomal RNA", at positions 334 to 588 of the family's 1533-position model. The record is from RNAcentral.